UUACAAGGAAUUGAAACUAAUUUGCAGUAACUCCAAAGUUUUGAGUCUCUCCCUAGCCUAAGCAGCAAUACUUGUGUCUGACAAUUGAAAGUACUCCCAAAGCAAUGUCUGGGGUUAGAGAAUGGAGGGAAGGCAGCAGGUACAGGACAGCUGCUGGCUCUAGUACUCCAUUUUCCUCUCAGGGUUACCCCUUGGAUGGCAACAACAAAACAGAGAAGGGUAAAAACACCCAGAAGCUGGCAACAUCUGGAGAGGAACAAAGCAGCCAAGAGCCAGUCUACCAACAACAGCAAGAGCAGCAUGUCAGCCCAUAUGUCUUGGUAACUCCAAAUGAAAUCAGAAGAAAACAGUUGCAGCAAAUUGCUAAGAAAGAGCUAGAUGACCUGGAGCGGUGGAAGGAAGAGCACAGGCCAGGGCCAAUUACAUUGGUUCCACAGAGAUUGGGUGGAAAGGAAUCAGAGGCUCAAGCAAGGCAAAACCAACAAAUGAUGCUCAUGCAAUCUAAAUACCAGCAAAAGCACAAGAGAGAAGAAUAUGUAAAAGCAAAAAAGGCAGCUGAAGAAGCUGAAAUCCUGAAAAAGAAAGCAAUUCAGAGAGAAAAGGCAGAGAGACUUGAAGUUAAAAAAAGACAACAAGAAAUGCAAAGAAGAGAGAUGUUCCUUGAAGAUCAAAAUUACAAAACCAAUGAAUUAUUGAACAGAUUGCACCUGGGUUUGCCAAAGAGUGAUUCCUGUCAGAUUGCUAAUCCUGGCCCAGAAUCUACAGCAUGGACAAGAAGCCAUGCUUACAAGCAAGCUCUUCGAGAGGAUGCUAACAGAAGAUUAGAGGAAAUGAAGCAAGAACAACGAAGGAAGGCUGAAUUAAUGGAAUGUAAACAAAAGCAGGUAGAGGAAGCCAGGACAAGAGCACAUCAAAAUGAACAAAGAAGGGUAAAUAAUGCUUUCUUGGACCGACUCCAGAAGAAAACACAACCUAAUAACAGCUACCAAACUGGAUAUACUGGACUACCUCAUUAAUGACACAAGGAUACUCAAGGGACAUGCUCUAUUUUCGUAAAAUGGAGGAAUUUCCAGCUCCUUGUACAUUAGAAGUCUUGAGCUGCAUGACCUUCUUUUCUUUGGGACAAAACUAAACCAAACAAUAUUCCUCAAGAGUCUACUUAUUGAACAUUUUCUGCUGAUGGACACGCAAGACCAGACUAGAGCCAGACUCAAGUAAACCCUUUAAAAGUGAACCCACGAGAGCUGGAUCCUCAGCCCUGACUCCUUCAGUCUACAAGCUUGCUACCAUUGCACAGCCAUGCUUGGGGUACCCCCACAGGGUACAUAAGUACCUCACAACCUUCAGAACCUGUCUUGAAGAAGAGUGCUUUACUGGUUGUACUGUUGUUAUACUGUAUACCACAUGUGUACCCUGAUUACUUUUGUACCAUAUGCAUCAUUGAUUACUCUUGCCUUAGUGUAAUAUCUUGCAUUUAUGCACUUUGAAUGCUAUUUGACACUUCAUUUCUCAAGCUCUCCUUAAAUUCUAGCUCUGUCCUCCAAUGCAUUUGCUGUCCUUCUUGUCUUCAAGCCAUCUGCAAAUUUAAUAUUUGAUAUUUUCUUUUCCAUCAUCCAGGUGAAUAAUUAAAAUGUCAAGUAGAGUGAGAUCCAAGACAUAUCCCUCUGGCAUGCCACUCAGUAAAGUAAAUCAUUCCAACGGAACAGUGAACCAGAGAAAAUAUUCUUAGCAUAUAAUUAUCUGGUCAAUUUUAUCCCACACUACAGAAGAUCCACCAAGGCUAUAUAUGUGGAAAUCUUUUAAUGAGAAUGUUAUAUAAGACAGUGUUCAGAUUAAAAUAUGUGAAAUUAACUGCUUCAGCUCUAGCUGUAGAAUCUCGUUAUGGACAGAAAUUAAAUUAGUUUAAUGCAAGAUGUUUGUGAUGAAUUCCAGUGGACUAUUAUUUAUCUCCUUGCUAUCCUUCAGGGACUUAUAUAUAGUGUAGUCAAUUAUUUAUUCUAGAUUUUUUUUCUAGAAAUUGAUGUUGACUAAUCUUUUCCCCAUUUAAGAAUAAUUACUAUGAUUGUCUUUUUUCCUGUCUUCUGGUACCUUAUUUGACCUUUAUGAUUCUGAAAGGAUUCAUUUUGUACUACCAAAUAAAACAGACCGAGGAACACAGUCUGCCCCUGAGGCCAAGUGGCACAGCACAAUUCAUUUUCACAUGGUAAAACUUUCCCCUCACUCAUCAGAAAGGAGUGUGGAUGUUCAAGCUGUCCCUCACCCAGUUUAUUCCCUAUCAGUGUCCAGAAACUGUCUGGGAAAAUAGUAGAACAAAAAGACAAAAUACGUCAGAGAAUUUUUAGCAAUAAUCAGUUGAGGUGGUCUUAGGACAGCAUGUUAGCCUAUAACCUGCCUCUGUUCUAUUUAUGACUAUAGGUAUAGCCAGAAAAUAACUACUAUACCAUUUGAGAUGGCCUAAACCAGUUUACUGUGAUGAUGAUGACAAUGCUCCUCAGCUCAGUGUUUAUGAUGCAAGAUCUUUUUAUCCCCCUAAGAGCUGCAAUAACAGCAUGAGGAAUGGGAGAUGUUUUUUUCAAAACUGCAGGGAUAUAAAUACGGCCUGUAUGUGCCAAUUUAGUUUAGGAAUCUAACUUACUCUUUGCUCUACACCCACCCAAUAAUGAAUGCUUCCUUUCUAUUCAUUAUAUCUACUUUCUUUCCUUGAGUUUCUUACUUGCCCUCAUUUUCAAAUGACCUUGUUAUUGUAAUUCUGUAAUAUUAUCUGCUACCCAUUUCAACCCAGGUCUUCUUUUUAGUUAUCAUAUUGUUACAUUAUGCAAGAAUCAUAAUUUGGUUCUGUCUUAGAGACAGAACCCCCAGCUGCUACAUAAUGCAUGUACAGAUUCAAUGCAUUUCUAAUGCUGAGAUUUUUUCUUCUUUCCCAUUGUUCAUAUAAUCAGAAAUAUUCUAUGGAAAAACUA
Molecule: RNA transcript, 2960 nt
Organism: Chiroxiphia lanceolata (lance-tailed manakin)
Lineage: Eukaryota; Metazoa; Chordata; Aves; Passeriformes; Pipridae
Gene: EPSTI1
Gene name: epithelial stromal interaction 1
Exons: 12
Source: RefSeq, a predicted model, not a curated record